GGCCCGCCUCAGUGCCCGGGGUUAAAGGGGAUCCGGGAAGACGGCUGCUGCUGUUGCUGCGGCUUACCGGUCUGUGCUUUUGAUCUGUGCCGGACCGGUGAUGCCGAUGCUGCAGUUAGGGACGAGGAAAAAUUGGGGUUGAGCCCCAGCCGAGCCGCGGACUCGCGCUCUUCGGUCCCCCGGACCCGCCCCACCUGAAGAAAUGAGUGGUGGCUUGGCUCCAAGUAAGAGUACAGUGUAUGUAUCCAACUUGCCCUUCUCCCUUACAAACAAUGACUUAUACCGGAUAUUUUCCAAGUAUGGCAAAGUUGUGAAGGUUACUAUAAUGAAGGACAAAGAUACUAGGAAAAGUAAAGGAGUUGCAUUUAUUUUAUUUUUGGAUAAAGACUCUGCACUUAACUGCACAAGAGCAAUAAACAAUAAACAGUUAUUUGGUAGAGUGAUAAAGGCAAGCAUUGCUAUUGACAAUGGAAGAGCAGCUGAGUUCAUCCGAAGGCGAAACUACUUCGAUAAGUCUAAGUGUUAUGAAUGUGGGGAAAGUGGACAUUUGAGUUAUGCCUGUCCUAAAAAUAUGCUUGGAGAACGUGAACCUCCAAAGAAGAAAGAAAAAAAGAAAAAAAAGAAAGUUCCUGAACCAGAAGAAGAAAUUGAAGCAGUAGAAGAAAGUGAAGAUGAAGGUGAAGAUCCUGCUCUUGACAGUCUCAGUCAGGCCAUAGCAUUCCAGCAAGCCAAAAUUGAAGAAGAACAAAACAAAUGGAAACCUAGUGCAGGGGGUCCCUCAACAUCAGAUGAUUCAAGACGCCCACGGAUAAAGAAGAGUGCUUACUUCAGUGAUGAGGAAGAACUUAGUGAUUAAAGUUGUAUUUAUUAUCACAACACAAGUUGAACAUCCGUAAUCUGACAAUGCAAAGUCUAAAAUGUUCCAUUAUCCAACACUUUGAGCCACCAGCAUGAUGCCUCAAGUGGGAAUGCUAUACUGUGAGACUUCGUUCAUGCACACAGAAAAUUACCUCAAGGUGGUUGCAAGGUGA
Castor canadensis (American beaver) is the source of this 1031-nucleotide non-coding RNA. NCBI's taxonomy places the organism in Eukaryota, Metazoa, Chordata, Mammalia, Rodentia, Castoridae. The record is from RefSeq and is a predicted model, not a curated record.